Molecule: long non-coding RNA, 536 nt
Organism: Xenia sp. Carnegie-2017
Lineage: Eukaryota; Metazoa; Cnidaria; Anthozoa; Malacalcyonacea; Xeniidae
Exons: 2
Source: RefSeq, a predicted model, not a curated record
ACCUUACCUUACCUUACCUUACCUUACCUUACCUUACCUUACCUCUGUGCAUUUUGGGAUACCUCCCCGCCCAUGGGAUGAGACAUAGUCUCCCCCAGGUUAUGUUGUUGAGUCUUGCAUGACCCCUUGUGAGUUUAUACUUACUGUUCUUCAGACAGUUAGAUACUUCCUUCACUGUGCCUCAGCUAACCCGGGGUUUCAUCACAUCAAUCGGUUCUUCUUAUCUGUUCUUCAGACAGCUAGAUACUUCCUUCACUGUGCCUCAGCUAACCAUGGGUUCAUCACAACAUCAGGUUCACAUCAACAUCUUCAUUGACCCAACCAGGAUUUGAACCAACAUCAUCAGCAUCUUACACAGGAACAUCAGCCACUAGACCACACAGGUCAUGUUGACAACUACCCAUUACAUCAAACUAAUAUGCCUUUCCAACCCCUCAUAAGCAUAAAAAAUAAUUAAAUUGACACCCCACUACUUCCCACCAUUACAAUUAAACACUUUUCAUCUAAUAUUUAAUAAACUCUUUAUUGAUCAUAAA